AAUAAAGUGGCUGAGUGUAGGCGGUAGAUUGUAAAUCUAUUAACGAGUAAAUCUCCUUUAUUA
Molecule: transfer RNA, 63 nt
Filed under: Xenograpsus ngatama
Lineage: Eukaryota; Metazoa; Arthropoda; Malacostraca; Decapoda; Xenograpsidae
Description: tRNA-Tyr
Rfam family: tRNA
About the family: Transfer RNA (tRNA) molecules are approximately 80 nucleotides in length. Their secondary structure includes four short double-helical elements and three loops (D, anti-codon, and T loops).
Source: RNAcentral